GAUCAUGGCUCAGGACGAACGCUGGCGGCGUGCCUAACACAUGCAAGUCGAGCGAGUUAAUCUCCUUCGGGAGUGAAGCUAGCGGCGGACGGGUGAGUAACACGUGGGCAACCUGCCUCAUAGAGGGGAAUAGCCUUCCGAAAGGAAGAUUAAUACCGCAUAAGAUUGUAGCUUCGCAUGAAGUAAGCAAUUAAAGGAAGGCAAUACCGCCUAUGAGGAAUGGGCCCGGCCGGGCGGCCAUUUAG
RNAcentral lists this ribosomal RNA (245 nucleotides) under uncultured bacterium. RNAcentral describes it as "partial 16S ribosomal RNA". It matches the Rfam family "Bacterial small subunit ribosomal RNA", at positions 15 to 248 of the family's 1533-position model. The record is from RNAcentral.